UACGUAGGUGACCAGCGUUGUCCGGAUUUACUGGGCGUAAAGAGCGCGCAGGCGGUCGUUCAAGUCGAGUGUGAAAGCCCCCGGCUCAACUGGGGAGGGUCACUCGAUACUGAUCGACUUGAAGGCAGGAGAGGGAAGCGGAAUUCCCGGUGUAGUGGUGAAAUGCGCAGAUAUCAGGAGGAACACCGGUGGCGAAGGCGGGUCUCUGGGCAACAACUGACGCUGAGGAGCGAAAGCGUGGGGAGCGAACAGG
RNAcentral lists this ribosomal RNA (253 nucleotides) under uncultured bacterium. RNAcentral describes it as "partial 16S ribosomal RNA". It matches the Rfam family "Bacterial small subunit ribosomal RNA", at positions 524 to 776 of the family's 1533-position model. The record is from RNAcentral.